Molecule: long non-coding RNA, 1380 nt
Organism: Oryza sativa Japonica Group (Japanese rice)
Lineage: Eukaryota; Viridiplantae; Streptophyta; Magnoliopsida; Poales; Poaceae
Source: RefSeq, a predicted model, not a curated record
UUCCCUUCUCUUUCCCGAGACCCCGCGUCCCCGCCGGCUGCCGGCGCACUCACGGCGGCGAUGCCCGUCGCGGCGGGGGAGGCCAUGCCUCCGCUUCCGCCUCUGCCCUGACGGACCCCCUCGCUCCCCUCCUCCAGAAUCCUCUUGCGUCCACGAGACCCGCCGCGAUCUCGAAUUCGCCGCUCCACCCAUGACCUACCUGGCGACGUCCCAAUCGUUCCAGUUUCCGAUGAUCGAUUGCUCCCGCAACCGAAGGUUGGGGGGAGAGGAAGCUGCAGGGUUACUCGAGGCGUGAUCGCUGACGGGGGCCGCACCGCCGCGUGGAGCAGCCGCUCCGACUCCGAGCCAUACUUGGUACAUUCCCCAUAUUAGGAUGUUGCGUGGCUGGACAUCUUCAAGGUUCCCAUUGGAGUCUAGAAUGUUGCGCAUUCCUUGUGUUGUUUGACUCUUUAAUAGGACUGCUGCUUCAUGCGUGUAAUCAUGCCAAGGAGUGGGGAUGAACAGAAGAAAGGAGUACUCUCAUAUUCCGGCGGGCUGUGAAGAAGUGGGGUUAAAGCACCAAAGAUUAAGACGGUAUCCAGGAUUCGACACGUCGGUGAGGCUACCUUCAAGUCUGGAGUGGCUCGAAGACCGAGGAAUAUCCUGUCUGUUGCAAAGACCUAGCAAUACUUGAUGAUGAAUGUAUACAUGUUCUUUUAAGAGAACAAAUUACAGCGACAAGGAUUGGAAGGUCCAUGGACGUCAAAAGGUAGGAACUUGCAGUGGUUGUCUACCGGAGGGUGUUUCGCUAGGAGCCAUCUAUGGCCUCAGCGGGGAUUAAUUACUUGUAAAAUAAUGAUAUAUAUUUACCAGUGGAGGUGCUCCCUCAGGUGAGGGGCGGCAGGCACAGACCAGUGUGAAGAAAGACCUCAGGUCGCCGCCCUGAACCUCGACUCGCGGCUUGGACACGACCGCCGACGGGAAUAACUCGUGGCCGUUGAACACCUGCUUGUUGGAGCUGUAGGUCGCCGUCAUCUUCACCGUGGGGUUGAAGUUGUCGAUGACCUCUCCGAUCACCUUCCCGACGACGAGAGGCUCCAGCACCCUAGACAUGGUGGCUAGCUGCAAGAGGCUAAUCUCUUGAGAACGUACUGAAGGGAGAGAAGGUGAAUACCGGUGAUGAGAUCGAGAGGGUGUGUGUAUAGUAGCUCGUGGUGUGUAGGUAAACACGAGAUAAACAGUCUCGAGUGGUUGCUGGUCUUGCUGAUGACAAUGGGAGGGCCGGCCGGGGCUCUAUUUAUAGCUGCGUGGAGCCGAUGGAUCGAACUGAUAAGGAAAAUGUAUAAACAAUGUAAAGUAUUAGAAAAUAUGUAAAUUGUCCCAUCUUCAUUUUCGCCUAAA